Molecule: non-coding RNA, 25 nt
Filed under: Arabidopsis thaliana (thale cress)
Lineage: Eukaryota; Viridiplantae; Streptophyta; Magnoliopsida; Brassicales; Brassicaceae
Source: RNAcentral
GGCACGUCUGCCUGGGUGUCACAAA